AAACCAGCACCUCAAGUGGUCAGGAUGAUUAUUGGGCCUAAAGCAUCCGGAGCCUGAUCUGUAAGUUUUCGGUUAAAUCUGUACGCUCAACGUACAGGCUGCCGGAAAUACUGCAGAGCUAGGGAGUGGGAGAGGUAGACGGUACUCGGGAGGAAGGGGUAAAAUCCUUUGAUCUCUCGAUGACCACCUGUGGCGAAGGCGGUCUACCAGAACACGUCCGACGGUGAGGGAUGAAAGCUGGGGGAGCAAACCGGAUUAGAUACCCGAGUAGUCC
Molecule: ribosomal RNA, 274 nt
Filed under: uncultured bacterium
Lineage: Bacteria
Description: partial 16S ribosomal RNA
Rfam family: Archaeal small subunit ribosomal RNA
Source: RNAcentral